AAUUAAAAAAGCAACCUGUAAGCUUCAUCCUGCUGGUAAUCAUUUUGGGGUGUUAUUUGCAGACUAGGACUUUCUACAGUACAAAUAAAUCUCACUUGUAUUUUAGACAGAGCUUUCUCCAAGGUACCCUGAACAGAAAAUGCUCACGACAACCAGAGGUCACAACAUCAGUGAAGCCUCAUCAGCACCUAAUGCAAGUGGAAGGUUUGCCAGAAAGUGUCUCUACUUUUUUCCCCAAACUGCAGAUCUGGAGUUGAUGAAAGGCAACAUUCCAAUGUUGAUUUUCUGGGUUGAUUCAAUUACUGCAAAAGCCAUAGAAAGUGUUUGAGACAAUUUUAUGAAAUGUGUACAUACCUCCUCUUAAAAGCUUGCUCUGAAAUUCAGCUGUGUCACAGCCCCAUUUCAGCACACAUAAAACUAAUGGAAAAAUUGCCUGAUAUAGAAACACAAGCUUGAACUCUGGGUAGCCAAAAUGUUUUAAGAUCUAAUCCAUGAAGCUUUCUACUUAUUUACUCAGGCAUGUGGGUAACUUGAAGCAUUUUCAGGAGGAAAAAAUAAAUGGAAGAGACAGUUGGUGCAGCAGAUAAGCCAUAUCAAAACUCAAGAGAGAUUUUAACAGGAAGAUAAUGGAUGGCUGUUAAGACCAGUUACCAAAGACUUGAUAGAAUAUAGACCUGGAGGCCAGAAGAUGGGCUAAUGGAGCAUAAUUUUGCAUUUCACAUUUCUAGAACUUCAUAUCUGGAAAGCAAAACACACAAUACACACAAACCCACGCACAUUCAGAAUCCUUCAUGCUUCAGUGGCCAGCUGAAUGUGCCCAGCACACACAGACACACAGGCAUAGGUGUAAUUUGCACAUUUAGUGCCUGGUGUGCAGGCGUUACCUCCUGGCAGCUCCACUGCUGGGACAAGGCUGGCCAAACCUGAGCUCUGAGCCUCCAUCAGCCCUGCCUGAGUGCUGUGACACUCUGUCAGCCACCAGCCACGACUGCUCGACGAGAUCUUCUGAAGAGAGUUGGAACAAUAUUUUCCUGAAAACUUGUGCCAUUAUUUUCAGAUUGUGUUCUGGGAUCAUGCAAACACUGAAUCUUCACCUUAUGGGAAGGAAAUGAUUUUAAUAAACCCUCUCCCUCCUAAAUGUUCCAGUUGUCCCUUGGCAAGCCAGGAAUUCGUACUCCUGUCCAAGUUCUAAUUAAAGGAUAUGUCUCAAAAGCUGACAUUCUGUUCUGCUUAAAAAUAUUGGUUUGAGGGUGGGUUUUUGUUGUUGUUGUUGUUGGGGUUUUUGUUUUCUUUUUGGGCUUUUUUUUAAAUUCCAGAUUUGAAAACCAUAGCCAAUUAUUUAGUCAUAGUACUCUAUGCAAAUGUUCCAGAAGCUGGAUGUUAAUUUGACA
Molecule: long non-coding RNA, 1391 nt
Organism: Motacilla alba alba
Lineage: Eukaryota; Metazoa; Chordata; Aves; Passeriformes; Motacillidae
Exons: 3
Source: RefSeq, a predicted model, not a curated record